This 1424-nucleotide long non-coding RNA is filed under the name Brassica napus (rape). RNAcentral's name for it is "long non-coding RNA (BNAP_LNC015292)". The record is from RNAcentral. Lineage: Eukaryota; Viridiplantae; Streptophyta; Magnoliopsida; Brassicales; Brassicaceae.
CGUUGGCGGAAGCGCAGGGACUCUUCUUUAUGGAGACGUCAGCUCUGGACUCAUCAAACGUGGCGGCUGCGUUUGAGACUGUUGUGAAGGAGAUAUACAACAUACUGAGCAGGAAAGUGAUGACCUCACAGGAGCUGAACAAGCAAGAUCCUGCCUCGCUUAGCAAUGGCAAGAAAGUUGUGAUUCCAUCAGAGGGGGAGUCCAAGACAGGUGGAGGUGGGUGUUGUUCUAGGUGAUGAUAGGAACUGAUAUUGUAGAAAGCUUAAAAAAGGAAGAUUAAUUUUCUCAUCUGUUUGAUUGUGUUUCUUUGUCCAUGGUAACUGCCAUGAAUGUUGAAAAUUUGAGCUGUGUCUUGUGGUGUGGAAGUGUUUGUGUAGCAAGAAAUCUGUAAAUUUUCCACUUCAGAAGCUUUAUGUAAACUCACACUCCUAUCUAUAAAGUCUUUCCACUUUCUUGUUGUUUAACUUGUGUAAUGAUAAUAUGAUGAACUGAUGAUGAUGAUGAUGAUGGUUGUUAGUCUUCUGUUAUUGUGACACUCAUAACAUAACAAGGAUUGAAACUUUACUAUAUAAAAAUCUUCUUUUAUAUACUAAAUGAAUUUAAAAAUAGUAAGAUGCAUGAGUAUUGUUAUUCUUCCAAUGAAGCAUUUGUCAUAGGGAAGAGGAUCAAAUCCAGCUGUAGACUUAGAUUCAUAAAAAAAAUUCAAUGAGAUUGUUCUAAUAGGUGAUUCUGCAGUCGGGAAAUCGAACUUGCUCGCAAGAUUUGCUAGGGAUGAGUUCUAUCCCAACUCAAAGUCGACCAUUGGAGUGGAGUUUCAGACGCAGAAGAUUGUUAUCAACGGAAAGGAGAUCAAAGCUCAGAUAUGGGACACGGCAGGUCAAGAACGUUUCAGAGCAGUCACUUCUGCGUAUUACAGAGGUGCAGUUGGAGCUCUUCUUGUUUACGACAUCAGCAGAGUGCAGACUUUUCAAAGCAUUGGUAGAUGGCUCAACGAGCUCCACAGUAAGAAACAUCACAUUCACACACACAAGAAAACUCCAUUUUCUUUAUUAUCUUUUACUAAAUGAUGAGAACUGUUGUUGCAGCGCACUCUGAUAUGAACGUUGUGACGAUCCUGGUGGGGAACAAGUCGGAUCUGAAGGACAUAAGAGAAGUGCCAACAUCAGAAGGGAAGGCGUUGGCGGAAGCGCAGGGACUCUUCUUUAUGGAGACGUCAGCUCUGGACUCAUCAAACGUGGCGGCUGCGUUUGAGACUGUUGUGAAGGAGAUAUACAACAUACUGAGCAGGAAAGUGAUGACCUCACAGGAGCUGAACAAGCAAGAUCCUGCCUCGCUUAGCAAUGGCAAGAAAGUUGUGAUUCCAUCAGAGGGGGAGUCCAAGACAGGUGGAGGUGGGUGUUGUUCUAGGUGAUGAUAGGAACUGA